GCCUACGGGGGGCAGCAGUGGGGAAUAUUGCACAAUGGGCGAAAGCCUGAUGCAGCAACGCCGCGUGAAGGAAGACGGUUUUCGGAUUGUAAACUUCUAUCAAUAGGGAAGAAAGAAAUGACGGUACCUAAAUAAGAAGCCCCGGCUAACUACGUGCCAGCAGCCGCGGUAAUACGUAGGGGGCAAGCGUUAUCCGGAUUUACUGGGUGUAAAGGGAGCGUAGACGGCCGUGCAAGUCUGAUGUGAAAACCCGGGGCUCAACCCCGGGACUGCAUUGGAAACUGCAUGGCUGGAGUGUCGGAGAG
This 305-nucleotide ribosomal RNA is filed under the name uncultured bacterium. RNAcentral's name for it is "bacterial SSU rRNA". It matches the Rfam family "Bacterial small subunit ribosomal RNA", at positions 337 to 656 of the family's 1533-position model. The record is from RNAcentral.